Molecule: unclassified non-coding RNA, 18 nt
Filed under: Chlamydomonas reinhardtii
Lineage: Eukaryota; Viridiplantae; Chlorophyta; Chlorophyceae; Chlamydomonadales; Chlamydomonadaceae
Description: small RNA Cre_1607
Source: RNAcentral
GAGGAGUACCGGCCCGCU